CACAUUACUGCUCAAAAAGUUUUGGAUUUCAGAUUUUUGGAUUAGAGAUACUCAGCCUGUGUUAUUUAUCAAAUGAACUGAGUUCUUUCUAAGCCAUAUGCAACAGGAUGGGUUUCAGAUUGCAACACAUUGUUCUUUAGAGGACUUCAGAAUGCUAUGCAAAAAACAUUUUAAACAGAACUAAUGUGAAUAGUUUUUGAAACAGUAAUAUACAUCAGCAGAGAAGCAGAGGGGAACUAGCAGGGGAAAGAAGGCAAGAUUCAACAUAAAAGAAAUGAUUCAGAUAAAAUGAGCAAUUUAACUCAGGUAAUAGUAAGAGAAUCUUUUUAAAAACAAUUUAUCCUUUUAUUUUAUUUUAUUUUAUUUUGUUUUAUUUUUUGAGACGGAGUUUCACUCUUGUUGCCCAGGCUGGAGUGCAAUGGUGCGAUCUCGGCUCACUGCAACCUCCACCUCCCAGGUUCAAGCGAUUCUCCUGCCUCAGCCUCCUGAGUAGCUGGGAUUACAGGCAUGCUUCACCGCAUCCGGCUAAUUUUGUAUUUUUAAUAGAGACGGGGUUUCUCCAUGUUGGUCAGGCUGCUCUUGAACUUCCAGCCUCAGGUGAUCUGCCCACCUCAGCCUCCCAAAGUGCUGGGAUUACAGGCGUGAGCCACCGCACCCGGCCAAUUUUUCCUUUUUUUAAAAAAAAAUUAUCGUAGUAAAAAACAUGUAAUUCUGGACUGCUCCCCAUAGGGUUACCACCUCUUAGAAAUUGUCCUCUAAUGAAGGUGACUGGAAUGUUUUCUCUGCUCAUACUGUAGUAUUAUAAAUACAUGUAGUCAUUUGUACAAAAAUUCUUCUAAGCCCUAGCUGCUGACUAAAAGCACUAUAUGAAGUUAGGAAAUUUUAGAAUGAAAGAAUCUGGCUAGUCCCUUGAAUUUGUAAUGAGAUUGACUGCUCUGUGUUACAUGCCUGCCUUGUAGUUGUUUCCCCCAUUGUCUGUCAAAGUGGAGAGUAAUCCCAGAUGGUUUGCAUGGGAGGGCUACAAAGGGAGAUGAUCCUCAGGGACUCAGAGGAAGUAUCUAAACACUGGUCAUGCGUUAUCUGAAGCCCACGUAACAGUUUCUUCAAUAGUAUUAUCUUCAACUACUCUCUAUAAUGCUAUCUGAUAAUAUAUCUAAAUCUCUUCACGCACAUUUUUUAAGAAUGGCUUUUUUUACUGUGUGUUUCUGACUACUAAACUGAGUAGUCUUCAUUUCUGUUAUAGGAACUCCAUGCUCCACUGACUGUUGUUGCAGAUGGGCUUUUCUCCAAGUUCAGGAAAAGCCUGGUCUCCAAUAAAGUUUCUGUAUCAUCUCAUUUUGUUGGCUUUCUUAUGAAGAAUGCACCACAGUUUAAAGCAAAUCAUGCUGAACUUAUUUUAGCUAACCCGAGUCCAGUUCUCAUCUACCAGAUUUCAUCCAGUGAAACUCGAGUACUUGUUGACAUUAGAGGAGAAAUGCCAAGGAAUUUAAGAGAAUACAUGGUUGAAAAAAUUUACCCACAAAUACCUGGUAAGAAAUAGCAUCUUCAGUUCUUACAAAGGCUGUGUCUAAAAUAGGCCAGAGAUAAGGAUGGCAGGUGAAACAUUCAUCCAGUCAACCAGAUAUUCUGGAACUGAACUAUUUAAACUAGCACUUAAAAACAGCAAAACAAACUCCC
RNAcentral lists this long non-coding RNA (1677 nucleotides) under Homo sapiens (human). RNAcentral describes it as "long non-coding RNA NONHSAT216364.1". Lineage: Eukaryota; Metazoa; Chordata; Mammalia; Primates; Hominidae. The record is from RNAcentral.